UCACGGCUCCCACAGAAUCCUCCGGCCGCCGCCACCGCUCGUUCUCCCCUUCAAAUCUUCAACCGACAGCAGCAGAGUCGCGGCCGCCGCCGUCCGUCUGCCUUGGUACAGCCUCAUCGGCGAUGCUGUCACUCAAGGGAAAGAGAGCAGCACAGAUCUGGUGGCCUUGGGGUGGUUGAAGUGGAGGAAGCCGCGCGGAGAGGUGGAGGUGCCGAGGUACUGCGAUAAGGCGCCGGAGACUACUAUUAUAAAAGGGUGUUAAAGCUCAUAUUUUCCUUUCAAACUCAGACGAAAAUCUGCAUCCUAAUCAUUCUUCUCCUGAUUUUCUUCUGCUGGUAGCUUUUGGUGUUAUAUUCUUGGCGAUUCAUCUUCUUUAUAGCUUUGAGAAAUCGCUUGUGUAGUUUGCCCGCUAGAUGUUCGACAGAAUGCUUGAUAGAGUGUGCUCUUUUCUUCAAUCCUUUUUUCUUAUUUUCUGCUGCAUUUUUUUUAAUACCAAGCUUACAAAGCUGUUCUUGUUAAUGCAGCGGCUGCUAGAAGUGAUCGAGUCGCGGAUGGUGGAGCAAUCGGAGGAGAGACCGGAAUACAUGAAGGUGUCCUUGGAUAUGUUCUCGUUGAUCUCCUGCGUUAGAGGGACGUUCUUCACCAUAUUCUAGUUUGAUGAAUAAUAAGUUCAAAUGUUGGAUGAAAUUUGUGAUGUUGGAUUAAAUUUGUUUGAAUGUAAUAUUGGAUUAAUAAUGUUUGAAUGAAGAUUCAAAUGUUCGAUGAAAUUUGUGAUGUUGGAUGAAAUUUGUUUGAAUGUAAUAUUGGAUUAAUAAUGUUUGAAUGAAUGUAUGGAUUUUUAUUAUUAAUAUAUGCAUUUUUAGUUUUC
Molecule: long non-coding RNA, 868 nt
Organism: Salvia miltiorrhiza (redroot sage)
Lineage: Eukaryota; Viridiplantae; Streptophyta; Magnoliopsida; Lamiales; Lamiaceae
Exons: 2
Source: RefSeq, a predicted model, not a curated record